This 560-nucleotide long non-coding RNA is filed under the name Lactuca sativa (garden lettuce). RNAcentral's name for it is "long non-coding RNA (LSAT_LNC006915)". Lineage: Eukaryota; Viridiplantae; Streptophyta; Magnoliopsida; Asterales; Asteraceae. The record is from RNAcentral.
AAUUGAAUUUUGGGUUAAAAGUGUCAAAUUUUGAAAGUUGAAACUGAGAAUAACAGGUUAUAGUUAAAAUUUCGAAGGAAAGAAACAAGGAUGCGGCUAGAUGAGUUGGGUAAGGCGCUGAAGGAAUGCGAGCUGGAGGUCGCGUGUUCGAUCCUCCGCAAAUCCAAAGUGCCUUCCGAUUUUUUUAAAUGCGAAGCGAGGGGGUUCUUGCGAGGCUGCGCUUGUGAGUCCGAGGUGCGAGGCCGAGUAAGGCGCUGAAGGAAUGCGAGCUGGAGGUCGCGUGUUCGAUCCUCCGCAAAUCCAAAGUGCCUUCCGAUUUUUUUAAAUGCGAAGCGAGGGGGUUCUUGCGAGGCUGCGCUUGUGAGUCCGAGGUGCGAGGCCGAGAACUCAGAAGCUGGAAGCGUGCGAGACCGAGCCGCAAACUGCUGAGCCUUAUAAUCCGAGCCGAGGUCGCAAACCUCGGGCCGAGAACUCCUCGGAAACCCUAGCUGUUGGCCGCCACCCCCUCGCAGUUUACGACCAAAAACAGUGAUUUUAGCACUUUUUUGCUCCAAAACUCG